GACGAACGCUGGCGGCGUGCUUAACACAUGCAAGUCGAACGGAAAGGCCCAGCUUGCUGGGUGCUCGAGUGGCGAACGGGUGAGUAACACGUGGGUGAUCUGCCCCUAACUUCGGGAUAAGCUUGGGAAACUGGGUCUAAUACCGGAUAGGACAAUCGUUUAGUGUCGGUUGUGGAAAGUUUUUUCGGUUAGGGAUGAGCCCGCGGCCUAUCAGCUUGUUGGUGGGGUAAUGGCCUACCAAGGCGUCGACGGGUAGCCGGCCUGAGAGGGUGGACGGCCACAUUGGGACCGAGAUACGGCCCAGACUCCUACGGGAGGCAGCAGUGGGGAAUAUUGCACAAUGGGCGCAAGCCUGAUGCAGCGACGCCGCGUGGGGGAUGACGGCCUUCGGGUUGUAAACCUCUUUCGACAGGGACGAAGCUUUGGUGACGGUACCUGUAUAAGAAGCACCGGCUAACUACGUG
This 464-nucleotide ribosomal RNA is filed under the name uncultured bacterium. RNAcentral describes it as "partial 16S ribosomal RNA". It matches the Rfam family "Bacterial small subunit ribosomal RNA", at positions 28 to 507 of the family's 1533-position model. The record is from RNAcentral.